GAUGAACGCUGGCGGCGUGCCUAAUACAUGCAAGUCGAGCGAACAGACGAGGAGCUUGCUCCUCUGACGUUAGCGGCGGACGGGUGAGUAACACGUGGAUAACCUACCUAUAAGACUGGGAUAACUUCGGGAAACCGGAGCUAAUACCGGAUAACAUGUUGAACCGCAUGGUUCAACAGUGAAAGACGGUCUUGCUGUCACUUAUAGAUGGAUCCGCGCCGCAUUAGCUAGUUGGUAAGGUAACGGCUUACCAAGGCAACGAUGCGUAGCCGACCUGAGAGGGUGAUCGGCCACACUGGAACUGAGACACGGUCCAGACUCCUACGGGAGGCAGCAGUAGGGAAUCUUCCGCAAAGGGCGAAAGCCUGACGGAGCAACGCCGCGUGAGUGAAGAAGGUCUUCGGAUCGUAAAACUCUGUUAUUAGGGAAGAACAAAUGUGUAAGUAACUAUGCACGUCUUGACGGUACCUAAACAGAAAGCCACGGCUAACUACGUG
This 497-nucleotide ribosomal RNA is filed under the name uncultured bacterium. RNAcentral's name for it is "partial 16S ribosomal RNA". It matches the Rfam family "Bacterial small subunit ribosomal RNA", at positions 28 to 507 of the family's 1533-position model. The record is from RNAcentral.